This 87-nucleotide transfer RNA is filed under the name Alkalimarinus sediminis. Its description in RNAcentral is "tRNA-Leu". It matches the Rfam family "tRNA". From Rfam's summary of the family: Transfer RNA (tRNA) molecules are approximately 80 nucleotides in length. RNAcentral also lists the same sequence under 1 other name. The record is from RNAcentral. Lineage: Bacteria; Pseudomonadati; Pseudomonadota; Gammaproteobacteria; Alteromonadales; Alteromonadaceae.
GCCUGGGUGGUGGAAUUGGUAGACACCCGAGACUUAAAAUCUCGUGUCCGUAAGGGCGUGCCGGUUCGACCCCGGCUCCAGGCACCA